RNAcentral lists this ribosomal RNA (325 nucleotides) under uncultured eukaryote. Its description in RNAcentral is "partial 18S ribosomal RNA". It matches the Rfam family "Eukaryotic small subunit ribosomal RNA", at positions 1470 to 1796 of the family's 1831-position model. The record is from RNAcentral.
CCCUUAGAUGUUCUGGGCCGCACGCGCGCUACACUGAUGCAUUCAACGAGCCUAUCCUUGACCGACAGGUCCGGGUAAUCUUUGAAUCUGCAUCGUGACGGGGAUAGAUUAUUGCAAUUAUUAAUCUUCAACGAGGAAUGCCUAGUAGGCGCAAGUCAUCAGCUUGCGUCGAUUACGUCCCUGCCCUUUGUACACACCGCCCGUCGCUCCUACCGAUUGGGUGUGCUGGUGAAAUGUUCGGAUCGGCCGUUUGUCGCGGUUUCCGCGGCUCGUGGCUGAGAAGUUCAUUAAACCCUCCCACCUAGAGGAAGGAGAAGUCGUGACA